RNAcentral lists this ribosomal RNA (490 nucleotides) under uncultured bacterium. RNAcentral describes it as "partial 16S ribosomal RNA". It matches the Rfam family "Bacterial small subunit ribosomal RNA", at positions 30 to 507 of the family's 1533-position model. The record is from RNAcentral.
AUUGAACGCUGGCGGCAGGCCUAACACAUGCAAGUCGAAUGGUAACAGGAAACAGCUUGCUGUUUCGCUGACGAGUGGCGGACGGGUGAGUAAUGUCUGGGAAACUGCCUGAUGGAGGGGGAUAACUACUGGAAACGGUAGCUAAUACCGCAUAACGUCGCAAGACCAAAGAGGGGGACCUUCGGGCCUCUUGCCAUCAGAUGUGACCAGAUGGGAUUAGCUAGUAGGUGGGGGAAAGGCUCACCUAGGCGACGAUCCCUAGCUGGUCUGAGAGGAUGACCAGCCACACUGGAACUGAGACACGGUCCAGACUCCUACGGGAGGCAGCAGUGGGGAAUAUUGCACAAUGGGCGCAAGCCUGAUGCAGCCAUGUCGCGUGUAUGAAGAAGGCCUUCGGGUUGUAAAGUACUUUCAGCGGGGAGGAAGGGAGUAAAGUUAAUACCUUGGCUCAUUGACGUUACCCGAAGAAGAAGCACCGGCUAACUCCGUG